AAACAGACAAACAAACACAGUCACACCCACAUGCACACCUACGGACAAUUUAAAGAUUCCAAUCCACCACCAAUCCAUGUCUUUGGAUGCGGGAGGAAACCGGAGCACCUGGAGGAAACCCAUGUAAACACGGGGAGAGCAUGCAGACUCCACACAGAGGG
Molecule: long non-coding RNA, 161 nt
Organism: Thalassophryne amazonica
Lineage: Eukaryota; Metazoa; Chordata; Actinopteri; Batrachoidiformes; Batrachoididae
Exons: 3
Source: RefSeq, a predicted model, not a curated record